GAUGAACGCUGGCGGCGUGCCUAAUACAUGCAAGUCGAGCGAACAGACGAGGAGCUUGCUCCUCUGACGUUAGCGGCGGACGGGUGAGUAACACGUGGAUAACCUACCUAUAAGACUGGGAUAACUUCGGGAAACCGGAGCUAAUACCGGAUAAUAUAUUGAACCGCAUGGUUCAAUAGUGAAAGACGGUUUUGCUGUCACUUAUAGAUGGAUCCGCGCCGCAUUAGCUAGUUGGUAAGGUAACGGCUUACCAAGGCGACGAUGCGUAGCCGACCUGAGAGGGUGAUCGGCCGCACUGGAACUGAGACACGGUCCAGACUCCUACGGGAGGCAGCAGUAGGGAAUCUUCCGCAAAGGGCGAAAGCCUGACGGAGCAACGCCGCGUGAGUGAUGAAGGUCUUCGGAUCGUAAAACUCUGUUAUUAGGGAAGAACAAAUGUGUAAGUAACUAUGCACGUCUUGACGGUACCUAAUCAGAAAGCCACGGCUAACUACGUG
Molecule: ribosomal RNA, 497 nt
Filed under: uncultured bacterium
Lineage: Bacteria
Description: partial 16S ribosomal RNA
Rfam family: Bacterial small subunit ribosomal RNA
Source: RNAcentral